Molecule: ribosomal RNA, 480 nt
Filed under: uncultured bacterium
Lineage: Bacteria
Description: bacterial SSU rRNA
Rfam family: Bacterial small subunit ribosomal RNA
Source: RNAcentral
CAAGUCGAACGGCAGCACGGGGGUAACCCUGGUGGCGAGUGGCGAACGGGUGAGGAAUGCACCGGAACGUGUCUUCAAGUGGGGGAUAACGCAUCGAAAGGUGUGCUAAUACCGCAUAAUCUCUGAGGAGAAAAGCAGGGGAUCGCAAGACCUUGCGCUUUGGAGCGGCCGAUGCCUGAUUAGCUUGUUGGUGAGGUAAAAGCUCACCAAGGCUUCGAUCAGUAGCUGGUCUGAGAGGACGACCAGCCACACUGGGACUGAGACACGGCCCAGACUCCUACGGGAGGCAGCAGUGGGGAAUUUUGGACAAUGGGGGCAACCCUGAUCCAGCCAUGCCGCGUGAGUGAAGAAGGCCUUCGGGUUGUAAAGCUCUUUCAGCCGGAACGAAACGGUUACGGUUAAUACCCGUGACUACUGACGGUACCGGAAGAAGAAGCACCGGCUAACUACGUGCCAGCAGCCGCGGUAAUACGUAGGGUG